UAUAACAUAUCUUUUUUAAAUUUUUUUAAUCUUCUUACUUGGAAGGCAAGCGUACUAUAUCAUACUCAAAAGAU
This 74-nucleotide transfer RNA is filed under the name Austrofusus glans. RNAcentral describes it as "tRNA-Gly". The record is from RNAcentral. Lineage: Eukaryota; Metazoa; Mollusca; Gastropoda; Neogastropoda; Buccinidae.